RNAcentral lists this ribosomal RNA (118 nucleotides) under Propithecus coquereli (Coquerel's sifaka). The record is from RNAcentral. Lineage: Eukaryota; Metazoa; Chordata; Mammalia; Primates; Indriidae.
GUCUACAGCUAUAGCACCCUGGAAGCAUCCAAUCUUGUCCGAUCUAGGAGGUAAACGGGGUUGAGCCUGGUUAGCACUUGGAUGGGAGACCACCUGGGAAUACUGGAUGCUGUAGGCU